GCGGGUUUAGCUCAGUUGGGAGAGCGUCAGACUGAAGAUUUGAAGGUCCUGUGUUCGAUCCACAGAAAUCGCA
Molecule: transfer RNA, 73 nt
Organism: Ascoidea rubescens DSM 1968
Lineage: Eukaryota; Fungi; Ascomycota; Saccharomycetes; Ascoideales; Ascoideaceae
Rfam family: tRNA
About the family: Transfer RNA (tRNA) molecules are approximately 80 nucleotides in length.
Source: Rfam